AGGAUAAGGUAAUCUGCAUCCUGAGGUUUAGAUCAGAAUAAUGAAUUUUAAAAAAUGGCUUUUCUUUUCUAGCCCUCGGGUCGCAGAUUACCUCUUCCUU
Molecule: non-coding RNA, 100 nt
Organism: Cucumis melo (muskmelon)
Lineage: Eukaryota; Viridiplantae; Streptophyta; Magnoliopsida; Cucurbitales; Cucurbitaceae
Source: RefSeq, marked provisional